This 876-nucleotide ribosomal RNA is filed under the name Amauroderma omphalodes. RNAcentral describes it as "partial 28S ribosomal RNA". It matches the Rfam family "Eukaryotic large subunit ribosomal RNA", at positions 77 to 940 of the family's 3401-position model. Lineage: Eukaryota; Fungi; Basidiomycota; Agaricomycetes; Polyporales; Polyporaceae. The record is from RNAcentral.
CCCCUAGUAACUGCGAGUGAAGCGGGAAAAGCUCAAAUUUAAAAUCUGGCGGUCUUUGGCCGUCCGAGUUGUAGUCUGGAGAAGUGCUUUCCGCGCUGGACCGUGUAUAAGUCCCUUGGAACAGGGCGUCGUAGAGGGUGAGAAUCCCGUCUUUGACACGGACUACCAGUGCUUUGUGAUGCGCUCUCAAAGAGUCGAGUUGUUUGGGAAUGCAGCUCAAAAUGGGUGGUGAAUUCCAUCUAAAGCUAAAUAUUGGCGAGAGACCGAUAGCGAACAAGUACCGUGAGGGAAAGAUGAAAAGCACUUUGGAAAGAGAGUUAAACAGUACGUGAAAUUGCUGAAAGGGAAACGCUUGAAGUCAGUCGCGUCGGCCGGAACUCAGCCUUGCUUUCGCUUGGUGCACUUUCCGGUUGACGGGCCAGCAUCGAUUUUGACCGUCGGAUAAGGGCUAGAGUAAUGUGGCACCUCCGGGUGUGUUAUAGACUCUAGUCGCACACGGCGGUUGGGAUCGAGGAACGCAGCGCGCCGCAAGGCAGGGGUUCGCCCACUUUCGCGCUUAGGAUGCUGGCAUAAUGGCUUUAAACGACCCGUCUUGAAACACGGACCAAGGAGUCUAACAUGCCUGCGAGUGUUUGGGUGGAAAACCCGAGCGCGUAAUGAAAGUGAAAGUUGAGACCUCUGUCGUGGAGGGCAUCGACGCCCGGACCUGACGUUCUCUGACGGAUCCGCGGUAGAGCAUGUAUGUUGGGACCCGAAAGAUGGUGAACUAUGCCUGAAUAGGGUGAAGCCAGAGGAAACUCUGGUGGAGGCUCGUAGCGAUUCUGACGUGCAAAUCGAUCGUCAAAUUUGGGUAUAGGGGCGAAAGACUAAUCGAAC